Molecule: long non-coding RNA, 804 nt
Filed under: Equus caballus (horse)
Lineage: Eukaryota; Metazoa; Chordata; Mammalia; Perissodactyla; Equidae
Description: lncRNA (ENSECAG00000058296.1)
Source: RNAcentral
CUGAGGUUCAGGCUUGCCCAUGAUAAACUGGCAUGCCCCCAUGGUUACAGAGUUGCCCAAGUACUCAAUAUCUUAACGUCCCUUCAGGAAGGUGCAGGAGCCCUCGCCUGGGAACGGUGAGGGUGGGGUGCUGCGUGGGUGUGGGUGUGUAGGGGGCUGUGGGUCUUGUGUGAAGAGCUGGGGCCUGCUGAAAGCGAGUAGAGCCUGAGAGAGGAGAGAUGAUCCGAGAUAGGGUGCCCAUGGAGGGAGAAGGACUGAACGCAGGAGGACCCAGGCAUGCCUGGAGCCAAAGGAGCACUGCAUCAGGAGUCAAGAGACGGGGUUCCAGCCCUGGCUUUGCCACGAAUGGGGUGUAUGAGCUUGGAAUACUCUCAAUGAUGCUAUUUUCAAUUGGGGGGGAAAAAGGAUUGUUUUCAUCAUAAAAGGAAUAUAACCUCAUCAGUCUACAGAAAAGGAAAAUAGAGAAAGAGAAGCUCCCGUGGUCCUAUCAGCCGCCGCAGCCCUUCGGAACAUGUGCUCUGAGCCUGCGGGUGCUCUGAGAAGGCCCCAGUCCCAUCGCGGCCAUCACUGAAGGCUUCCUGUAGGAGGGGACCUUUGAGCUGAGCCUUCAAGGAUGGGGUGGAAUUUCCACGAGGGUCCAGAGGAGAGAAAAAGGCUGGCGCUUCAGGUAGAGUGGUUGACUCCCUCAGAAGCUAAGAUCUUUAAGCGCGAACUACGAGGCACGCGGGGACUCGCUCGUCUCCACCACGGGGGCCCUCCAGUCCUUGCCGGCCGUGUGGUAUUUGCCGAGUAUUAGCCACGAGG